RNAcentral lists this ribosomal RNA (485 nucleotides) under uncultured bacterium. Its description in RNAcentral is "bacterial SSU rRNA". It matches the Rfam family "Bacterial small subunit ribosomal RNA", at positions 30 to 507 of the family's 1533-position model. The record is from RNAcentral.
AUUGAACGCUGGCGGCAGGCCUAACACAUGCAAGUCGAACGCGAAAACCCCUUCGGGGGCAAGUAGAGUGGCGAACGGGUGAGUAACGCGUAGGAAUCUACCCAGGAGUGGGGGACAACCCGGAGAAAUCCGGGCUAAUACCGCAUAUGCCCUACGGGGUAAAGUGGGGGACCUUUAGGGGCCUCACGCUUUUGGAUGAGCCUGCGUCGGAUUAGCUUGUUGGUAAGGUAACGGCUUACCAAGGCGACGAUCCGUAGCUGGUCUGAGAGGAUGACCAGCCACACUGGGACUGAGACACGGCCCAGACUCCUACGGGAGGCAGCAGUGGGGAAUAUUGGACAAUGGGGGCAACCCUGAUCCAGCCAUGCCGCGUGUGUGAAGAAGGCCUUCGGGUUGUAAAGCACUUUCAGUAGGGAAGAAAAGCCUGAGGUUAAUACCCUUGGGUCUUGACGGUACCUACAGAAGAAGCACCGGCUAAUUCCGUG